Long non-coding RNA from Wasmannia auropunctata (little fire ant), 1022 nucleotides. RefSeq lists it as uncharacterized. The record is from RefSeq and is a predicted model, not a curated record. The transcript has 3 exons. Lineage: Eukaryota; Metazoa; Arthropoda; Insecta; Hymenoptera; Formicidae.
UCACUGGAAUUAUUAAUUUUGAAAAAGCUUAGGAAGCUCAAUUACAUACAGAAUAAUAUUAUAGUACCUGUUAUACAGGAAAUAUUAACUCUUUUAAAACCUCAGAGAUUAGAAGUCUUUCAAGAAACAGAUGUUCCUACACUGCUGAUUGACAAUGACGCACAACUUAAUGAGGAGUGAAUUUGAGGAGUAUCUUUCUACUACUGAAAAUUAUAACAACAUGAGUUACGAAAUUAAAAUUUAGUCGUGUUGGAGCAAGUCAUGGUGCAGCGAGAACUACAAGAAAAAUACUGAAAAGUCUUAUUACUUCAAAGUUUGCGAUGCAUUUUAAUUGGGGAGGAAGAACUCCAAAGAGACCUUUUAAAGAACUUAAAUUAAAAGAUUUGAUUCUCGAUUCUGUGCAUAAAGCGAUUUCUUCAGCGUCAACACAAGUAAUUGAAAAUUCCAUUAAAGAUUGGUUGAAACAAGCCAUGACUAGAGUUAUAUAGUCAUACUUUAUAAUCAUUUCUUUUAUUCAUAUUUUAAAGGCAUAAAUAUAUAUUAAACAUAUAUUUUUAUUUUAUUAUAAAAGUUAUGCGACAUGAAAUAAUAGUGUUAAAAAUAAAUAAUUAAUAAUAGUGAAUUCUGAAAUGGAGCUUUAUAUAAGUGUUAUAACAUUUUUCUUUAUUUCAACGACAUCUUUGUUUUGUGAUUACAUUUAUUUUUUUUUAUUAAAUUCUCUGCAUUAAGCAAUUUUUUCAGUGUUAACACAAUAAAUUGAAUCUAAGUCCAUUAAGCAAUUUUUUUCAGUGUUAACACAAUAAAUUGAAUCUAAGUCCAUUAAGAUCGACUGAAACAAGCUAAGAUCAGAAUUAUGUUAUAUAAUUCUUCGUUAUUUCUUUUAUUCAUAUUUUAAAAAUGCAUAUUACACAUGUAUUUUUAUUUUAUUAUCAAAGUCGUACCUAAAAUAAUAUAAGAAUUAAAUCCAUUUUAGAAUUCAGCAUAACAUUCUUUACUUUAGUGAUUAAUAUUUUCUCUUUCUU